AUGGUACAUGUUUGCAUCGCAGCUUUUGCGUGGAGCUGUCUCUGCUUCCAACCUGCUCUGGGUGGAUUACCUGCUUCAGGGCCAGCCUUGGGCAAAGCUGUCAAGGGGAAAAUAAUGAUCUUUGGCACCUCCCAGCUCUCUUGGAAGUUACCAGAUCGCAGAGGGCAAGCCCCCGAGGGAAAGGGGUGGGACACAGGACAACGGAGUCCAUUUGAAGAUGCUCUCCUUCUCCCAUGGGAAACCUCUGAGAUGCUCCAGAGAAAACAGGACACAAGGGUACCUGAGCUGGAAGCCGAGGACGGAGGUUGUCGUGGUCUUCCAAAGAAGGUUCUGAAAGAAGAAGAUUGGACUGCAUGGGAAUCCAGGGAUUUAUGCGACUCGAUCCUGCAUUUGUAAAAACAGUGUUAUUAUUCCUAGCCAUCUGACAGGGUCAUCAUGCAAGUCCCAGAAGUACUGUCUGUGGAAGUGAUUUGAAAAUGGCAAAGGGCUAAGAGGUGUCUCUUUUGGAGAAGCAGCCUGUGGCUGGGAGGUCACUGGGAUUGGACUUUAACAGUUGGGGAAGCCAUGUGCGUGCCUCCUCAGAGCCUCGGUUUUAUCACCUGGGAAGUGGAAACGAUAAUACCCACCUCUUAGGCUUUGAAAGUGGGAAUUAGACAUAAUGUGCAUAAAAUUAUUGCAUAAGCAAUAAGAUGCUGUGUGCUCUCAUUCAUAAAUACUUUCAACACUGACGUGCAUAAGGUGGGCAGCAGGGAGCUGAGGAUGCAAGUUGUCCGAGGAGCUAUUCUGACCUUGACGGCCCCUCCAAGCAGCUCUGGCCUUGGAACCUGGAGGCCUCCUGCUAUGCCAUUGGAGGAAUUUCCAGGAGGUGGGAGAAAGUUCCAAGGAAGGAUGGAAAGAGCAGCUGGGUAAGGAAUGGAGGGCGGGAGUGGGGGCCCUGGAGAGUGGGAAGCUUCAACUUUAUUGGUGGACAAGGGUGUUCAAGGCAGAUAGACGCACAGGAAUGGGGCUGAAAGAAAGCAUGAUGCCCAAUUUGGACAAAGGAGGGAUAUGCAAUUGCAAGACCUUGGAUGGGGAGAAUGGCGAGCAAAAUACAAGGUGUGCUGGGAUUUUUAUAGACCUUGCCACUGUGCUCGCAUUUAUAAGAUUUGUGCUGUUUUCUCUCUGUGGGGUUAAGGCUGGAAGGAAACUGGAGUGCUUCAAAGCUCCCCAUCCAGGUUCAUGCAGGCCCUCUGAAAUGCAGCCCAUCGCCCGCAUCAUCUUGGCGCCCUGAGCUGGGAGGUGGGGAGCAGACAUUGACACGAUUCUCUCAGAAGUGACUUUCUUGUGAUUUGUUCCGCCAUUCCUUCCCUCAGCCAAACCAGAAAAACCACUGAACCUGGGUAUUUGGCGUGGGUUAGGGAUUUCUGGAUCUCGUAAGGGCAAAUGACUAUACAACAAAAACGGUUCCCUUAAAAGUUCACACUCAGUCCUUGGAGUGGGAUGUGCGUGUGUGUGUGUGUGUGUGUGUGUGUGUGUAGGACAGGAGAGGGUCCAACAGACUCUCACUUUUUUCCAAAUAAACGCCCCCAACUUCUAAUUAAGAGCA
This 1585-nucleotide long non-coding RNA is filed under the name Sus scrofa (pig). RNAcentral's name for it is "lncRNA (ENSSSCG00070007062.1)". The record is from RNAcentral. Lineage: Eukaryota; Metazoa; Chordata; Mammalia; Artiodactyla; Suidae.